This 71-nucleotide transfer RNA is filed under the name Spathosternum nigrotaeniatum. Its description in RNAcentral is "tRNA-Asp". The record is from RNAcentral. Lineage: Eukaryota; Metazoa; Arthropoda; Insecta; Orthoptera; Acrididae.
AAGGAGUUAGUUAAAUAUUUAUAUAACACUAGAGUGUCAAUCUAGAAUUACUAAAAUAAUAGUACACCUUG